Molecule: ribosomal RNA, 301 nt
Filed under: uncultured bacterium
Lineage: Bacteria
Description: partial 16S ribosomal RNA
Rfam family: Bacterial small subunit ribosomal RNA
Source: RNAcentral
CAGUAGCCGCGGUAAUACGAAGGUCCCAAGCGUUGUUCGGAAUCACUGGGCGUAAAGGGAGCGUAGGCGGCGUGGUAAGUCAGAUGUGAAAUCCCGGGGCUCAACCCCGGAACUGCAUCCGAUACUGCCAUGCUUGAGGGUUGGAGAGGUAGCUGGAAUUCUCGGUGUAGCAGUGAAAUGCGUGGAUAUCGAGAGGAACACUCGUGGCGAAGGCGAGCUACUGGACAACAACUGACGCUGAGGCUCGAAGGCCAGGGUAGCGAAAGGGAUUAGAUACCCGUGUAGUCCCUGUCUCUUAUAC